This is a non-coding RNA of Lipotes vexillifer (Yangtze River dolphin), 72 nucleotides long. The record is from the annotation of a RefSeq genome assembly. Lineage: Eukaryota; Metazoa; Chordata; Mammalia; Artiodactyla; Lipotidae.
ACCCUGGUGGUCCAGUGGUUAGGACUUGGCACUUUCCCUGCCAUGGCUCAGGUUCGAUCCUUGGUCAGGGAA